UAGGGAAUCUUCGGCAAUGGGGGCAACCCUGACCGAGCAACGCCGCGUGAGUGAAGAAGGUUUUCGGAUCGUAAAGCUCUGUUGUAAGAGAAGAACGUGUGUGAGAGUGGAAAGUUCACACAGUGACGGUACUUACCAGAAAGGGACGGCUAACUACGUGCCAGCAGCCGCGGUAAUACGUAGGUCCCGAGCGUUGUCCGGAUUUAUUGGGCGUAAAGCGAGCGCAGGCGGUUUAAUAAGUCUGAAGUUAAAGGCAGUGGCUUAACCAUUGUUCGCUUUGGAAACUGUUAAACUUGAGUGCAGAAGGGGAGAGUGGAAUUCCAUGUGUAGCGGUGAAAUGCGUAGAUAUAUGGAGGAACACCGGUGGCGAAAGCAGCUCUCUGGUCUGUAACUGACGCUGAGGCUAGAAAGCGUGGGGAGCAAACAGG
RNAcentral lists this ribosomal RNA (428 nucleotides) under bacterium. RNAcentral describes it as "partial 16S ribosomal RNA". It matches the Rfam family "Bacterial small subunit ribosomal RNA", at positions 355 to 776 of the family's 1533-position model. The record is from RNAcentral.